RNAcentral lists this ribosomal RNA (492 nucleotides) under uncultured bacterium. RNAcentral describes it as "partial 16S ribosomal RNA". It matches the Rfam family "Bacterial small subunit ribosomal RNA", at positions 29 to 507 of the family's 1533-position model. The record is from RNAcentral.
AGUGAACGCUGGCGGUAGGCCUAACACAUGCAAGUCGAACGGCAGCACAGUAAGAGCUUGCUCUUACGGGUGGCGAGUGGCGGACGGGUGAGGCAUACAUCGGAAUCUACUUUUUCGUGGGGGAUAACGUAGGGAAACUUACGCUAAUACCGCAUACGACCUACGGGUGAAAGCAGGGGAUCUUCGGACCUUGCGCGACUGAAUGAGCAGAUGUCGGAUUAGCUAGUUGGCGGGGUAAAGGCCCACCAAGGCGACGAUCCGUAGCUGGUCUGAGAGGAUGAUCGGCCACACUGGAACUGAGACACGGUCCAGACUCCUACGGGAGGCAGCAGUGGGGAAUAUUGGACAAUGGGCGCAAGCCUGCUCCAGCCAUACCGCGUGAGUGAAGAAGGCCUUCGGGUUGUACAGCCCUUUUGUUGGGAAAGAAAAGCAGCAGGUUAAUACCCCGCUGUUCUGACGGUACCCAAAGAAUAAGCACCUGCUAACUUCGUG